UGCCAGCAGCCGCGGUAAUACGGAGGGGGCAAGCGUUGCUCGGAAUUACUGGGCGUAAAGCGAGCGUAGGCGGUUAGUCAAGUUGGUGGUGAAAGCCCAGAGCUCAACUCUGGAACUGCCAUCAAAACUGACUUACUUGAGAUUGGUAGAGGGAAAUGGAAUUCCUAGUGUAGAGGUGAAAUUCGUAGAUAUUGGGAAGAACAUCGGUGGCGAAAGCGAUUUCCUGGGCCAAUUCUGACGCUGAGGUACGAAAGCGUGGGUAGCAAACAGGAUUAGAUA
This 279-nucleotide ribosomal RNA is filed under the name uncultured bacterium. RNAcentral's name for it is "partial 16S ribosomal RNA". It matches the Rfam family "Bacterial small subunit ribosomal RNA", at positions 506 to 784 of the family's 1533-position model. The record is from RNAcentral.